Molecule: long non-coding RNA, 240 nt
Filed under: Elaeis guineensis (African oil palm)
Lineage: Eukaryota; Viridiplantae; Streptophyta; Magnoliopsida; Arecales; Arecaceae
Description: long non-coding RNA (EGUI_LNC006929)
Source: RNAcentral
GUGGAUAAGCAUCAUCGAUGUUAGGGUGCGAUCGAGCCGACAUGCAGGUCAUCCAAAUCAAAUUAUAAUUAAAUCAUGAUUGAGCUAUUUUUAUCUCUAUUGAACUUAAAAUGAGUUGAACCCAAAUCAUAAUUGGGCCAUUUUCAGCUUGAAAUUAAAUGGAAAAAAUUGGGCCGCCUAAGGUGGCCGCCACAAUUUUCAGCCCAUGCCUUUAUGAAGAUUUCAUGCAUGCCCUAACCC